RNAcentral lists this ribosomal RNA (440 nucleotides) under uncultured bacterium. RNAcentral's name for it is "partial 16S ribosomal RNA". It matches the Rfam family "Bacterial small subunit ribosomal RNA", at positions 338 to 795 of the family's 1533-position model. The record is from RNAcentral.
CCUACGGGUGGCAGCAGUGGGGGAUAUUGCACAAUGGGGGAAACCCUGAUGCAGCAACGCCGCGUGAAGGAAGAAGGUCUUCGGAUUGUAAACUUUUGUCUUGUGGGAAGAUAAUGACGGUACCACAGGAGGAAGCUCCGGCUAACUACGUGCCAGCAGCCGCGGUAAUACGUAGGGAGCGAGCGUUGUCCGGAUUUACUGGGUGUAAAGGGUGCGUAGGCGGCUAGACAAGUCAGGUGUGAAAUACCGCAGCUCAACUGCGGGGCUGCACUUGAAACUGUAGAGCUUGAGUGAUGGAGAGGUAAGCGGAAUUCCUAGUGUAGCGGUAAAAUGCGUAGAUAUUAGGAGGAACACCAGUGGCGAAGGCGGCUUACUGGACAUUAACUGACGCUGAGGCACGAAAGCGUGGGGAGCAAACAGGAUUAGAUACCCUUGUAGUC